This 308-nucleotide ribosomal RNA is filed under the name uncultured bacterium. RNAcentral's name for it is "bacterial SSU rRNA". It matches the Rfam family "Bacterial small subunit ribosomal RNA", at positions 30 to 334 of the family's 1533-position model. The record is from RNAcentral.
AUUGAACGCUGGCGGCAGGCCUAACACAUGCAAGUCGAGCGGCAGCACGGGAAGCUUGCUUCCUGGUGGCGAGCGGCGGACGGGUGAGUAAUGCAUAGAAAUCUGCCCGGUAGUGGGGGAUAACCUGGGGAAACCCAGGCUAAUACCGCAUACGUCCUACGGGAGAAAGCAGGGGAUCUUCGGACCUUGCGCUAUCGGAUGAGUCUAUGUCGGAUUAGCUUGUUGGUGAGGUAAUGGCUCACCAAGGCGACGAUCCGUAGCUGGUCUGAGAGGAUGAUCAGCCACAUCGGGACUGAGACACGGCCCGA